AUGCUCACUUUGGCACCACAUAUACUAAAAUUGGCACGAUACAGAGAAGAUUAACAUGGCCCUUGCACAAGGAUGACAUGCAAAUUUGUUAAGCGCUCCAUAUUUUU
Molecule: small nuclear RNA, 107 nt
Organism: Perognathus longimembris pacificus (Pacific pocket mouse)
Lineage: Eukaryota; Metazoa; Chordata; Mammalia; Rodentia; Heteromyidae
Source: RefSeq, a predicted model, not a curated record